This 1237-nucleotide long non-coding RNA is filed under the name Amborella trichopoda. RNAcentral's name for it is "long non-coding RNA (ATRI_LNC001875)". The record is from RNAcentral. Lineage: Eukaryota; Viridiplantae; Streptophyta; Magnoliopsida; Amborellales; Amborellaceae.
UUUCCCCUCUUUCUGAUACCCAUGCUCAUGUGCGCGCACAGAGACAGAGAACCUGCUGUGUAUUUAGACUGGUUUGCUUUAGAGGGGCUGCUCUGUAUCAGGAUAGGGAGUGGUUGCUAUAGACGUGGAGAGAGAGAGAGCUUUAGUUUUCCUUGGUGGCUUUUCCUUGAAUCUUCAUAGCAUGCACGGGUGUUCGAACGAACACUCGAGGCAAGCACCGAGCAUAGUGAAAAGGAGUUGUAUAUGAUUUUUUGCGGAAAAUAUGGGCCUCUUAAUAAAUCUAUUUUUUGAGAUGGAUAUUAAAACUUAAUUUUUCUAACACGGAGAUUAUGAAUAUGAAAAAAUAAAUAAUUUUAAAAAACUAGAAUAAUAAUUAUAGUUAAAAAACAUUUGAACCGUUAGUUUCCAUUGUUUUUAAAUGAAACACCUACUUGCAUCCAUCUUUAAGAUGGAUGCUUUAUACUUUUUGGACCGUAUAUGUAGAAAUGCAAUUUAACCCACAUGAAACAAUUUUCCAUUGUAUAUUAUAAAACUAUUUAUUUUUUAUACAAGGAGGUCACAAUCAUUUUUAUCUAUUAGAUGUGAAAUCUAAUAGAUAAUAAUAUAUCAUAAUAUUCAAAAAACUUUGUUUUGGAUUUUAUGCUUAAACGAUGACACAUUAUUAACCACCCAAUUUCAAAUCUAACGGUAAAUGAUGAUUAUGACAUCUUUAUGUCAAAAGUAAAUGGUCUCAUUCUAUACAUUUCUUGGUGAAAAUGUCUCCCUAUACGAACAUCUACCAUUUCAUUUAUACCAAUAACAUAUGGGACAUGUGGUUUAAGAUUUUUCGACCAACUCAGGUUCGUCGAGCGUGAGUAUUCUUGAGUUGGGUAUCCAACUUGGUGAUCUUGAAAAAAAAUUAUAAAAAUUUCAAAGAAAUUAAGAAAUCUAUUUAUAACAUAUUUUUUUAUGUUCUAUAAUUUUGUCAAAAAUUGGAAAGUAUUUUGUCCAUGAAUACUUAUUUUUAUAUAAUCCCUUCUUUUUAAAUUAUUUCAAAAAUAUCCCCACUCACAAAUUGAUUUCUACAAAUGGAAAAAUUAUAGAUACCCCAAGUGAACCUGGUUGACAUCCACCCCUCAAUACUUUUAGUAUCACACCCACAAUCCAAACAUUGCUUGUUCUUACUCUUACCCCAGUCAAAAAAUUCAUGAUUAAAAUGCAUUUCUUCUCUAUCACUCUCUAUCCACCCUCUCUAUAU